GAAGCUCAGGGAUCUGCGAAUGCAGAUCGGUAGAGGAGCAUUGUUAACUGGACGAAGCGGUACCGGAAGGAGCCGUGGACGGUUAAGAAGAGAGAAUGCCGGAAUGAGUAGCGAGAGGAAGGUGGGAAUCCUUCCGGCCGAAUAUCUAAGGUUUCCAGGGUAAAGCUGAUCUGCCCUGGGUAAGUCGGGACCUAAGGCGAGGUCGAAAGACGUAGUCGAUGGACAACAGGUUGAAAUUCCUGUACUAUCCUGUAACAG
RNAcentral lists this ribosomal RNA (258 nucleotides) under Escherichia coli. RNAcentral's name for it is "partial 23S ribosomal RNA". It matches the Rfam family "Bacterial large subunit ribosomal RNA", at positions 1196 to 1457 of the family's 2925-position model. The record is from RNAcentral. Lineage: Bacteria; Pseudomonadati; Pseudomonadota; Gammaproteobacteria; Enterobacterales; Enterobacteriaceae.